Molecule: small nuclear RNA, 100 nt
Filed under: Carlito syrichta (Philippine tarsier)
Lineage: Eukaryota; Metazoa; Chordata; Mammalia; Primates; Tarsiidae
Source: RNAcentral
GUCUCACUUUGGCAGGAUAUAUACUAAAAUUGGAACAGAAAGAUUAACAAGGCCUCUGCUCAAGAAUGACACGCAAACUUGUGAAGAGUUUCAUAUUUUU